GAUCCGGUGGUUCUGCGUGGAAGGGCCAUCGCUCAACGGAUAAAAGCUACCCUGGGGAUAACAGGCUUAUCUCCCCCACGAGUCCACAUCGACGGGGAGGUUUGGCACCUCGAUGUCGGCUCAUCACAUCCUGGGGCUGUAGUAGGUCCCCAGGGUUGGGCUGUUCGCCCAUUAAAGUGGUACGCGAGCUGGGUUCAGAACGUCGUGAGACAGUUCGGUCCCUAUCCGUCGCAGGCGUAGGAAAUUUGAGAAGACCUGUCCUUAGUACGAGAGGACCGGGAUGGACGUACCUCUGGUGUACCAGUUGUCCUGCCAAGGGCAUGGCUGGGUAGCUAUGUACGGAAUGGAUAAGCGCUGAAAGCAUCUAAGCGCGAAG
Molecule: ribosomal RNA, 376 nt
Filed under: Clostridioides difficile
Lineage: Bacteria; Bacillati; Bacillota; Clostridia; Peptostreptococcales; Peptostreptococcaceae
Description: bacterial LSU rRNA
Rfam family: Bacterial large subunit ribosomal RNA
Source: RNAcentral